CUGGCCUCCCAGCCUUUCUCUGCUUCCUCACUCAUGAUGCCAGCAGGCUGCUCUAUCGCUACCCGCAUCUAGAGGCCUCAAGCAAUGUGGUCACUUGAUCCUAGACUGGAACCUCUAGAACCAAGAGCUAAAUGAGACUUUUCUCUUAUGACUUAAUUGCCUCAGAUGCUCUUAGCAUAGUGAUUAUUAUGGCUUGUGUUUAGAAGCCCCCUAAAGUCUCAUGCAGGUAGAUAAGAACCUAAAGAUUAAAAUCAGAGAGAACUGCAAAGAAGAUCAGAAAUUUAAUAUAUCGGGAAGAUCAAGGCCCUCAAUUGUUUAUGGAGCCUGAUAGAAGUUUCAUCAGGUGCUACUGACUCUUAGGACUCAGAAGGUUCCCCUCUCUCCUGUGUUUGAGCUGUUCCAGUUCUCAGCCUGAACUUCGCACCCCUCAUACAGUGGCCUGGGGAUUUCUGAAUCUGUCACACCAUGAGCAAGCAGAAGAGGAAGAGCAAUAUUUCUGGACUAUUCAUCAAGACAUCUCAUUCCACAAGCAGCAUCUGACUUUGUUAAGAAACAAAAAGGCAUUCAACCAGAAGCCAGAGGCAACAUGAUUUAUGGGGUUGGAAGAAUCAUUGUUUUAACCAUCUCAAAAUAGAAUCUUCUCUAUAAGAGCAAGGAUCAUGUUUCAUUUCUGAAUGCUACUGCCUAGCUCAGCAUCUGCUACACAGCAGGCACUCAAUAAAUGUAUCUUGGAUGAAAGGAG
This 742-nucleotide long non-coding RNA is filed under the name Heterocephalus glaber (naked mole-rat). RNAcentral describes it as "lncRNA (ENSHGLG00000050415.1)". The record is from RNAcentral. Lineage: Eukaryota; Metazoa; Chordata; Mammalia; Rodentia; Bathyergidae.